This 1353-nucleotide long non-coding RNA is filed under the name Betta splendens (Siamese fighting fish). Its description in RNAcentral is "lncRNA (ENSBSLG00000017281.1)". The record is from RNAcentral. Lineage: Eukaryota; Metazoa; Chordata; Actinopteri; Anabantiformes; Osphronemidae.
UUACUUCUAAGACUUUACCACUGUUUAAUUUUGCUACGUCUGGGGGAGUGUAAUGAUUUAGUUGGAGCCGCUUGUGAGUCAGCACACGAGUGAAUAAUGUUAAUGACAUGAGCCGGAUGCCCAACUGCUGGUUGACUGUACCCACACAUAUCAGCAGCCAUAUAAAAGCAAGACUUACAGAAAGGCGCAUUUAUCGUAUUGCUACCGUCGGAGCACAUUGAUACAGGUUUUCUUUUUCUUUAACGUGUGCAACAACAGAACGCUGAACGAGCUGAUACAGCAGACUCAGAAAUGGCAGUUCUCCAGUCUGUACUUUGUGGUGUCCUCACGCUGACUCUAGUAACAUCGAAACCAAUCUGUCUUAGCGAGGGUGGGGAUUCAGCCGUGUCGUCGGAGUCUAACGAGUCCAUUUCAUCAGAGGAGACGGCCCCUAAUGUUGAGCCUUCACAGCAUCCACCAGUGCUUCCAGAGACGAGCAUGCCUAAUGCUCUGGAGGAACCAGACCCCCCGGGAGCCACGGCUGCACUUCCUCAUCCAGAUUUGGGGCCUUCUCCAUCUACACUCAAUACUUCUAACCCUGAGGAGACACAAACCUCUGCUGAUGAUUUACAGCUUGUGCCAGAUGUGCCUUCACAAACUCCUGUGGGUGUGGGCAUUACUCAGGGCAUGCCUAAUUAUGAUCCUGCAAAUAACGCCGACCCUGUGCAGGUUCGACCAGAUGCAGAGGUCACGCUGCGCUUAGGGCUCACGGCCACAGACAAAAGCAUGGGCACCUGUGGCACAAAUGCGCCACAUAUCGCCAGCGCAUACCAAGAAUUCCCCAAGGGAGUCACUCCACCCUUUCCUCCACAUAUCAUCAGCCCAACAACGCCGUUCUCCACAGCCGCUCCCAUGCCAAUCCCCUUCAGCACUGCUCUGACUGGGGUUCCUGUUUGUUUCACUUUCCAACUGUCAACUCCUGAGCCAGAUCCACCCCGAGGAGACAGCUAAUGCAGACUGUGCUUAGGGCCACUCCUGCUCCAGUUUUCUUGUUUAUACUGUGUAACAGUGUUUAUUACAUUUACCAAUGUUUAACAAAAACAAACUUUACUUUACUUCACAUUGUGUAAUAAUGGUGCAGGUACUGUAACUGCUACUGUAUAUGCAGGCAAUACUUGUAUAAUGUGCUGUAGUUGAUUCACGUAGUUGACACGUUAAGCCGAAUAACCCCUUGUUAUUAAAGGCUAUGACUAAUCAAAUGAACACAAUACACAAAUGUGUGGUAAUUGUCAGAUUUAUUCUUUAUUCGAAUUUCAUAUUUUGUAAAAUAGUCACACCUGGCCUGAAAACAAUAAAGACAAAACACACGUGACA